CAAAGAGGAUCAUAGAGACGAAAAGAAAGAGUAAACCCGGCGUCCCUCAGCCCAAGGUGCUGCAGUGCGUCUUCCGCACUUACGCAGACUAGUCACGCGAGGAAACUCCCGCCAAGCGCUGAGAGAGGCAAAUACAAGGGGGAGGGGGCGGGAGGCGGAGCGAGAGGAGGAGCGGGAGGAGGAGCCCGAAGGUGAAGCCUUUGGUGAGGGUGCGUGGAGCCCAGAGGGUGUGCUGAACUGAGGUGUUGUAUGGAUCAGCUCUGGCCCCAUUGUAUUCUCCUAUAGCAACACUCAGCCAGCCUGAGCCGCUGUGGACCCUUCAGGAGCAAGGACCUAGCCGCUAGCCAGCCUUCAAGGCAUGUUUCUGGACUCAAUCAAGGAUGACUCCCUGUUGAAAAGCGCCAUAUCCACGAAGGAGAUAUACGUACAGGUUGGCCCGCCUUGGUGCGACCCCACGGGCUUCUCUCUGGAUUGGCA
Non-coding RNA from Sus scrofa (pig), 477 nucleotides. Lineage: Eukaryota; Metazoa; Chordata; Mammalia; Artiodactyla; Suidae. The record is from RefSeq and is a predicted model, not a curated record.